GUUCAUGUAGAUUAAAAAAAUUGUGAGGCUGUUAACUUCAAGAUGAGUUCAUCUCUGUGGACG
This 63-nucleotide transfer RNA is filed under the name Cyathocotyle prussica. RNAcentral describes it as "tRNA-Asn". The record is from RNAcentral. Lineage: Eukaryota; Metazoa; Platyhelminthes; Trematoda; Diplostomida; Cyathocotylidae.